This 253-nucleotide ribosomal RNA is filed under the name uncultured bacterium. RNAcentral describes it as "partial 16S ribosomal RNA". It matches the Rfam family "Bacterial small subunit ribosomal RNA", at positions 524 to 776 of the family's 1533-position model. The record is from RNAcentral.
UACGUAGGGUGCAAGCGUUAUCCGGAAUUAUUGGGCGUAAAGAGCUCGUAGGCGGUCAGUCGCGUCUGCUGUGAAAACUCGGGGCUUAACUCCGGGCCUGCAGUGGGUACGGGCUGACUAGAGUGCGGUAGGGGAGACUGGAAUUCCUGGUGUAGCGGUGAAAUGCGCAGAUAUCAGGAAGAACACCCGUGGCGAAAGCGGCUCUCUGGAACGGUACUGACGCUGAGACGCGAAAGCGUGGGGAGCGAACAGG